CGGGAUUAGUCCCGUUAGGUAUGUGGCCUGAAAAAGGCUGAACCUGGAG
RNAcentral lists this non-coding RNA (49 nucleotides) under unclassified sequences. RNAcentral describes it as "eL15-Euryarchaeota ribosomal protein leader". It matches the Rfam family "eL15-Euryarchaeota ribosomal protein leader". The record is from RNAcentral.